RNAcentral lists this ribosomal RNA (433 nucleotides) under uncultured bacterium. Its description in RNAcentral is "partial 16S ribosomal RNA". It matches the Rfam family "Bacterial small subunit ribosomal RNA", at positions 29 to 507 of the family's 1533-position model. The record is from RNAcentral.
AACGAACGCUGGCAGCAUGCCUAACACAUGCAAGUCGAACGAGACCUUCGGGUCUAGUGGCGCACGGGUGCGUAACGCGUGGGAACCUGCCCUUAGGUUCGGAAUAACUCCCCGAAAGGGGUGCUAAUACCGGAUAAUGUCUUCGGACCAAAGAUUUAUCGCCUUUGGAUGGGCCCGCGUUGGAUUAGCUAGUUGGUAGGGUAAAAGCCUACCAAGGCGACGAUCCAUAGCUGGUCUGAGAGGAUGAUCAGCCACACUGGGACUGAGACACGGCCCAGACUCCUACGGGAGGCAGCAGUGGGGAAUAUUGGACAAUGAGCGAAAGCCUGAUCCAGCAAUGCCGCGUGAGUGAUGAAGGCCUUAGGGUUGUAAAGCUCUUUUACCCGGGAUGAUAAUGACAGUACCGGGAGAAUAAGCUCCGGCUAACUCCGUG